RNAcentral lists this ribosomal RNA (400 nucleotides) under Bacillus sp. BR-Subra-61. RNAcentral describes it as "bacterial SSU rRNA". It matches the Rfam family "Bacterial small subunit ribosomal RNA", at positions 66 to 479 of the family's 1533-position model. Lineage: Bacteria; Bacillati; Bacillota; Bacilli; Caryophanales; Bacillaceae. The record is from RNAcentral.
GAAUGAUGGGAGCUUCUCCCAGAUUACGGCGGACGGGUGAGUAACACGUGGGCACCGCCAUAAACUGGGAUAAUUGGGAAACCGAGCUAAACCGAUACGUUUUUUUCCUAGAGAAAGGAAAACGGCCUUAGCUGUCACUUAUAGAUGGGCCCGCGGCGCAUUAGCUAGUUGGUGAGGUAAUGGCUCACCAAGGCGACGAUGCGUAGCCGACCUGAGAGGGUGAUCGGCCACACUGGGACUGAGACACGGCCCAGACUCCUACGGGAGGCAGCAGUAGGGAAUCUUCCGCAAUGGACGAAAGUCUGACGGAGCAACGCCGCGUGAACGAAGAAGGCCUUCGGGUCGUAAAGUUCUGUUGUUAGGGAAGAACAAGUACCAGAGUAACUGCUGGUCCUGCGUC